Long non-coding RNA from Megalobrama amblycephala (Wuchang bream), 839 nucleotides. RefSeq lists it as uncharacterized. Lineage: Eukaryota; Metazoa; Chordata; Actinopteri; Cypriniformes; Xenocyprididae. The record is from RefSeq and is a predicted model, not a curated record. The transcript is spliced from 3 exons.
UAGAAUGGCCACAGAGAACUCUGAGUGGAUCACUGUGGAUGAUUGGGAGAGUCAGCAGCCAGUGUGGGUGGAGACAGCCAAAGUACUAUGGUGGGAACAUCUUAAGAUCAUGUGCUUUUAGAGAACAUUUGAUUUUUGGUUGAAGUAAAAGAUAAAUCUGACACAACCUUUUUUAUUCACUUAAAGGAACAAUCACUCCAGUUGGAGAUGGCUAUAAAAAGAAAGGUCUGACUGAAGAUUGUCAUCGGCUGGGGAUGGCUAGAAUGGCCACAGAGAACUCUGAGUGGAUCACUGUGGAUGAUUGGGAGAGUCAGCAGCCAGUGUGGGUGGAGACAGCCAAAGUACUAUGCCAGGUGUUUGAAGAAAGACAGCAGUUUCUUCGAGAGACCUUUAUCCAGUCAUGAAUGAUGCCAUUGAUGCACAUCCAAGGAGCCAAUGAAGCCCCUGUACUGUUUAGUGUGGCUACUCUGGAAAAGUGUGGUGAAACUACAGGCAGACUGCCGCCAUUUGAAAACCCAGACUGCAUCCAAAGAAAUUGAUGGCAUGCCAUCCACCAAAUAAUCUGAUUCAUAUGAAUACUCAAACUGGUUGAAAACUUAAAAAAGUAUAUUUUCCAUCAGACUGUGAAGGCUCCUCAUACAGUGUAGUAUUCUGUGCAAAUAUGUGGUAGCAUUUUCUACUGAUGGGACAAGAGCAUAAUGCACCAUUGGCAGUAUUUUGAACUACAUUUACUGAUUCAUUUGAAGCAUUUUUCAUGACCAUCACUUUAAAUAAUGGAUUUAGACUUACAAGAUCCUUUCAAUGACUGUCUUGGCCAAAUCUGAGUUGACAGAAGUAUA